RNAcentral lists this ribosomal RNA (625 nucleotides) under Salmonella enterica subsp. enterica serovar Kentucky. RNAcentral's name for it is "partial 23S ribosomal RNA". It matches the Rfam family "Bacterial large subunit ribosomal RNA", at positions 694 to 1315 of the family's 2925-position model. Lineage: Bacteria; Pseudomonadati; Pseudomonadota; Gammaproteobacteria; Enterobacterales; Enterobacteriaceae. The record is from RNAcentral.
GUUAAGUUGCAGGGUAUAGACCCGAAACCCGGUGAUCUAGCCAUGGGCAGGUUGAAGGUUGGGUAACACUAACUGGAGGACCGAACCGACUAAUGUUGAAAAAUUAGCGGAUGACUUGUGGCUGGGGGUGAAAGGCCAAUCAAACCGGGAGAUAGCUGGUUCUCCCCGAAAGCUAUUUAGGUAGCGCCUCGUGAACUCAUCUUCGGGGGUAGAGCACUGUUUCGGCUAGGGGGUCAUCCCGACUUACCAACCCGAUGCAAACUGCGAAUACCGAAGAAUGUUAUCACGGGAGACACACGGCGGGUGCUAACGUCCGUCGUGAAGAGGGAAACAACCCAGACCGCCAGCUAAGGUCCCAAAGUCACAGUUAAGUGGGAAACGAUGUGGGAAGGCUCAGACAGCCAGGAUGUUGGCUUAGAAGCAGCCAUCAUUUAAAGAAAGCGUAAUAGCUCACUGGUCGAGUCGGCCUGCGCGGAAGAUGUAACGGGGCUAAACUGUGCACCGAAGCUGCGGCAGCGACGCUUAUGCGUUGUUGGGUAGGGGAGCGUUCUGUAAGCCUGCGAAGGUGUCCUGUGAGGGAUGCUGGAGGUAUCAGAAGUGCGAAUGCUGACAUAAGUAACGAUAA